This 374-nucleotide ribosomal RNA is filed under the name uncultured organism. Its description in RNAcentral is "partial 16S ribosomal RNA". It matches the Rfam family "Bacterial small subunit ribosomal RNA", at positions 527 to 896 of the family's 1533-position model. The record is from RNAcentral.
GUAGGUGGCAAGCGUUGUCCGGAAUUAUUGGGGCGUAAAGCGCGCGCAGGUGGGUUCUUUAAGUCUGAUGUGAAAGCCCCCGGGCUCAACCGGGGAGGGUCAUUGGAAACUGGGGAACUUGAGUGCAGGAGAGGAAAGUGGAAUUCCACGUGUAGCGGUGAAAUGCGUAGAUAUGUGGAGGAACACCAGCGGCGAAGGCGACUUUCUGGCCUGUAACUGACACUGAGGCGCGAAAGCGUGGGGAGCAAACAGGAUUAGAUACCCUGGUAGUCCACGCCGUAAACGAUGAGUGCUAAGUGUUGGGGGGUUUCCGCCCCUCAGUGCUGCAGCUAACGCAUUAAGCACUCCGCCUGGGGAGUACGGUCGCAAGACUG